ACUUAUAUAUUUUAAAUGAGAAUAUUGCAUUGAAGCUGCAAUGGUGGUAAUUUACCUAUGGGUG
This 64-nucleotide transfer RNA is filed under the name Cherax setosus. Its description in RNAcentral is "tRNA-Phe". Lineage: Eukaryota; Metazoa; Arthropoda; Malacostraca; Decapoda; Parastacidae. The record is from RNAcentral.